AUUGAACGCUGGCGGCAUGCUUUACACAUGCAAGUCGAACGGCAGCACGGGUGCUUGCACCUGGUGGCGAGUGGCGGACGGGUGAGUAAUGCAUCGGAACGUGUCCUGAAGUGGGGGAUAACGCAUCGAAAGAUGUGCUAAUACCGCAUAUUCUCUGAGGAGAAAAGUAGGGGAUCGAAAGACCUUAUGCUUUUGGAGCGGCCGAUGUCUGAUUAGCUAGUUGGUAAGGUAAUGGCUUACCAAGGCAACGAUCAGUAGUUGGUCUGAGAGGACGGCCAGCCACACUGGGACUGAGACACGGCCCAGACUCCUACGGGAGGCAGCAGUGGGGAAUUUUGGACAAUGGGCGCAAGCCUGAUCCAGCAAUGCCGCGUGAGUGAAGAAGGCCU
Molecule: ribosomal RNA, 389 nt
Filed under: uncultured bacterium
Lineage: Bacteria
Description: bacterial SSU rRNA
Rfam family: Bacterial small subunit ribosomal RNA
Source: RNAcentral